Molecule: ribosomal RNA, 1016 nt
Filed under: uncultured bacterium
Lineage: Bacteria
Description: bacterial SSU rRNA
Rfam family: Bacterial small subunit ribosomal RNA
Source: RNAcentral
AGGAAUAUUGGUCAAUGGACGAGAGUCUGAACCAGCCAAGUAGCGUGAAGGAUGACUGCCCUAUGGGUUGUAAACUUCUUUUAUACGGGAAUAAAGUGGAGUAUGCAUACUCCUUUGUAUGUACCGUAUGAAUAAGGAUCGGCUAACUCCGUGCCAGCAGCCGCGGUAAUACGGAGGAUCCGAGCGUUAUCCGGAUUUAUUGGGUUUAAAGGGAGCGUAGGCGGGUGCUUAAGUCAGUUGUGAAAGUUUGCGGCUCAACCGUAAAAUUGCAGUUGAUACUGGGCGCCUUGAGUGCAGCAUAGGUAGGCGGAAUUCGUGGUGUAGCGGUGAAAUGCUUAGAUAUCACGAAGAACUCCGAUUGCGAAGGCAGCUUACUGGACUGUAACUGACGCUGAUGCUCGAAAGUGUGGGUAUCAAACAGGAUUAGAUACCCUGGUAGUCCACACAGUAAACGAUGAAUACUCGCUGUUGGCGAUACACAGUCAGCGGCCAAGCGAAAGCAUUAAGUAUUCCACCUGGGGAGUACGCCGGCAACGGUGAAACUCAAAGGAAUUGACGGGGGCCCGCACAAGCGGAGGAACAUGUGGUUUAAUUCGAUGAUACGCGAGGAACCUUACCCGGGCUUAAAUUGCAGAUGAAUUACGGUGAAAGCCGUAAGCCGCAAGGCAUCUGUGAAGGUGCUGCAUGGUUGUCGUCAGCUCGUGCCGUGAGGUGUCGGCUUAAGUGCCAUAACGAGCGCAACCCUUGUUGUCAGUUACUAACAGGUUCCGCUGAGGACUCUGACAAGACUGCCAUCGUAAGAUGUGAGGAAGGUGGGGAUGACGUCAAAUCAGCACGGCCCUUACGUCCGGGGCUACACACGUGUUACAAUGGGGGGUACAGAGGGCCGCUACCACGCGAGUGGAUGCCAAUCCCCAAAACCUCUCUCAGUUCGGACUGGAGUCUGCAACCCGACUCCACGAAGCUGGAUUCGCUAGUAAUCGCGCAUCAGCCACGGCGCGGUGAAUACGUUCCCG